RNAcentral lists this long non-coding RNA (624 nucleotides) under Sus scrofa (pig). Its description in RNAcentral is "lncRNA (ENSSSCG00045032853.1)". Lineage: Eukaryota; Metazoa; Chordata; Mammalia; Artiodactyla; Suidae. The record is from RNAcentral.
CGCCCCCGCCCCCGCCCCCAACCUCCCACCUCCUCCCUCGCCUUUCUCUCCCGCUCCCCUCCCCCAGCAACCGCACACACGCACACACACAAACAGAGGGAGAGAAGCGGGGGAGAGGGGGGGCGAGAGAGAGAGGGAGAGAGAAGAGACGGAGAGGAGAGAGAGGGGAGAGAGAGAGAGAAAGAGAGAGAGGGAGAGAGAGAGAGAGAGAGAGAAGAGACUCCCCGGCUCCCUCCCUCCCUCGCACACAGCGACUGGAGACGGUCGGAGAGCAACGCGCUGGGAGAGGAGAGACCACCGAGAACAGCCCCGCGCUCUCACACAUACACUCACACUCGGCUCUUUCCUCUCCCCCCCACCUCCUCCUCCUCCUUCCACCCCCACCACUAACACCAUCUCCUCCUCCUCUCUGCAACAAGAAAAAAAAAAGCCAUUUACAGUUGUAACAGUUGGAGGAUAAUGCAAAGGAAGACGCUGCCUGGGAAUUCACCGUCUGUGGACAUGCGCCCCAGAGAGGAAUAAAGCAGUCCUCACCUUGCUCUCCCCACCCAGACCCACUUUCCCCUCCCGCCUCGGCCCCCACCCCGACACCACCAUCACCCCCUUCCCUCCCCCCCACCUCCC